GCGGCGCCUUCUGCCAGCUCCCCGAGCAGCUCCGGCAACGCUGGCAGCGGUGGCGGCGGAGGCGGUGGAGGCGG
Molecule: microRNA precursor, 74 nt
Filed under: Cavia porcellus (domestic guinea pig)
Lineage: Eukaryota; Metazoa; Chordata; Mammalia; Rodentia; Caviidae
Description: miRNA (ENSCPOG00000032329.1)
Source: RNAcentral